This 485-nucleotide long non-coding RNA is filed under the name Androctonus crassicauda. Lineage: Eukaryota; Metazoa; Arthropoda; Arachnida; Scorpiones; Buthidae. The record is from RNAcentral.
UGUCCGGUAAACAUAAGUGCAAGGAUGUGUCAGUUAAAAGGGAAGUAAAGUUAAAAGGGAAGUAUUAUUGUCUUUAGGUCGGUGAUGUCUGACAAAGUUAAGUGCAUCCAGAUGGCCAAUAUAGGAGGUCAUAAAGAUGAGUUAAGGAUGCGUCAACAGUUAAGUGCCUUUAGGACCGGGUGCACCCUGGAAGAGAACCUGUCCUGGCGUCAUCGCAUGCGGUCAUCUUCAAGCUCUCUCGUCUUGCCUUCCGUCCGAGUCGGAGCUUUUCGUCAGUCUCCCGUGGUUUUUAGAGAAUUAAAAAUGUGAAAAUCACAUGAGAAAAGGACAUUGUCCUAGGCACAUUUAACAAAAUCCAUUCAAUGUUAAUCAUCUGUGCAGUAUGGUAACUGAAAAUUCUACUAAUGGCAGAGACAGUGUACUUACACAUCCUCUGUUAAUCAUUAGAUUUAAAUAAAAAUAACUAAACAUCUGAGAUCGGAAGA